Molecule: long non-coding RNA, 492 nt
Filed under: Carica papaya (papaya)
Lineage: Eukaryota; Viridiplantae; Streptophyta; Magnoliopsida; Brassicales; Caricaceae
Description: long non-coding RNA (CPAP_LNC006951)
Source: RNAcentral
CUAAAUAAAAUUUAAUCCUUAACAACAAUCUAGAUUUACCAAUUGCUUUCAGUUCGACUGGUUUGCCAUCGCCCACAUAAAUGAAUCUGGCACCAUCACUAACCUUGCAUAGACACAUUGAUGUGAGUUGUGGUACCAAAAUCUAUCCACCAGAUGUGUGUAGGUAUAAAAGUUAAAUUAAUCUCAGAACAAACAAAAUUAAGAAGCAUACCUUUCUUUGCGUGUCACGCAUAAUAGUUAGUGCAUUGCUUCUUUUGGUGUCCCAGAGCUUUACAGAAGAAACAAACAUUUUCCGUCUAAACUUUUUGUUGUUUCUUCUGUUGUACUAAAAUCGCAGCAAAUUUACAUGUUUUAUUUUUCUUGUUCUUCUUAUUCUUUGAGAUCACUACUAAAUGAGCAUUUUCUAUCCUCUCAGAGUUGAGCCUUUCCUCCUCUUGAACACAAUGUGAAAUAAGUUCAUUCCGAUUUUAAGAUUCUUUCUAAUAGUUGUAU